This 465-nucleotide ribosomal RNA is filed under the name uncultured bacterium. RNAcentral's name for it is "partial 16S ribosomal RNA". It matches the Rfam family "Bacterial small subunit ribosomal RNA", at positions 338 to 795 of the family's 1533-position model. The record is from RNAcentral.
CCUACGGGAGGCAGCAGUGGGGAAUAUUGCGCAAUGGGCGAAAGCCUGACGCAGUGACGCCGCGUGAGGGCUGAAGGUCUUCGGAUCGUAAACCUCUGUCAGCAGGGAAGAACGGUCACUGUGCUAAUCAGCCGUGAAUUGACGGUACCUGCAAAGGAAGCACCGGCUAACUCCGUGCCAGCAGCCGCGGUAAUACGGAGGGUGCGAGCGUUCAUCGGAAUUACUGGGCGUAAAGCGCUCGUAGGCGGUAUGUCAAGUCAAGGGUGAAAUCCCCGCGCUCAACGUGGGAACUGCCUUUGAAACGGGCAAACUGGAGUGUGUGAGAGGAUAGUGGAAUUCCAGGUGUAGGAGUGAAAUCCGUAGAUAUCUGGAGGAACAUCAGUGGCGAAGGCGACUAUCUGGCACAUAACUGACGCUGAGGAGCGAAAGCGUGGGUAGCAAACAGGAUUAGAUACCCCAGUAGUC